Molecule: ribosomal RNA, 468 nt
Filed under: uncultured bacterium
Lineage: Bacteria
Description: partial 16S ribosomal RNA
Rfam family: Bacterial small subunit ribosomal RNA
Source: RNAcentral
GACGAACGCUGGCGGCGUGCUUAACACAUGCAAGUCGAACGGAAAGGCCCUGCUUUUGUGGGGUGCUCGAGUGGCGAACGGGUGAGUAACACGUGAGUAACCUGCCCUUGACUUUGGGAUAACUUCAGGAAACUGGGGCUAAUACCGGAUAGGAGCUCCUGCUGCAUGGUGGGGGUUGGAAAGUUUCGGCGGUUGGGGAUGGACUCGCGGGUUAUCAGCUUGUUGGUGGGGUAGUGGCUUACCAAGGCUUUGACGGGUAGCCGGCCUGAGAGGGUGACCGGCCACAUUGGGACUGAGAUACGGACCAGACUCCUACGGGAGGCAGCAGUGGGGAAUAUUGCACAAUGGGCGGGAGCCUGAUGCAGCGACGCCGCGUGCGGGAUGACGGCCUUCGGGUUGUAAACCGCUUUCGCCUGUGACGAAGCGUGAGUGACGGUAAUGGGUAAGGAAGCACCGGCUAACUACGUG